AAGAAAUUAGUUUAUAUAAAACAUUAACUUGUCAAGUUAAAAAUAUUAAUUAUAAUACUUCUUA
Molecule: transfer RNA, 64 nt
Filed under: Neolethaeus assamensis
Lineage: Eukaryota; Metazoa; Arthropoda; Insecta; Hemiptera; Rhyparochromidae
Description: tRNA-Asp
Source: RNAcentral